Long non-coding RNA from Bufo gargarizans (Asiatic toad), 180 nucleotides. RefSeq lists it as uncharacterized. The record is from RefSeq and is a predicted model, not a curated record. The transcript has 2 exons. Lineage: Eukaryota; Metazoa; Chordata; Amphibia; Anura; Bufonidae.
GAGUGAGGUGGAGGAGGACAUUCCAGGAGAUGUCACCACAGAAAAUCCCAGUAAAAAUUCAGAUGGAAACUUCAUGUUAUCAUUAAAUUAUAAAGUAGAAGAUAAAGAUAUUAUGCAGCACUCUUCGGUUACCUUUAAUGUACAUCCAGGACUUCACAAUAAAGAUCUAUCAUAUAAUCC